UACGUAGGGAGCAAGCGUUGUCCGGAAUCAUUGGGCGUAAAGCGCGCGUAGGCGGCCCCGUAAGUCCGCUGUGAAAGUCAAAGGCUCAACCUUUGAAAGCCGGUGGAUACUGUGGGGCUAGAGUCCGGAAGAGGCGAGUGGAAUUCCUGGUGUAGCGGUGGAAUGCGCAGAUAUCAGGAGGAACACCAAUAGCGAAGGCAGCUCGCUGGGACGUUACUGACACUGAGGCGCGAAAGCGUGGGGAGCGAACAGG
This 253-nucleotide ribosomal RNA is filed under the name uncultured bacterium. RNAcentral describes it as "partial 16S ribosomal RNA". It matches the Rfam family "Bacterial small subunit ribosomal RNA", at positions 524 to 776 of the family's 1533-position model. The record is from RNAcentral.